AAGUCGUAACAAGGUUUCCGUAGGUGAACCUGCGGAAGGAUCAUUACUGAAUGCCCCAGCUUGCUGGGCUUAUUCCUCCUUGGGAAGCCACUGAAAAUGCGGCGACCCUUGGACACUCACACCUGCACUGUAUCUUCUCCUUUGGUAGGCUUCGGUGCACCUCUUUCCUUGUGAUUAGAGGAUCCGACAACUUACCAGAGGAACCCCCCACAACAUACUGUUCCUAUAGACUGUACCUUUAUUUUAUAAAAUUAUAAAACAACUUUUAACAACGGAUCUCUUGGCUCUC
This 289-nucleotide unclassified non-coding RNA is filed under the name fungal sp. Its description in RNAcentral is "partial internal transcribed spacer region". The stretch from base 1 to 46 matches the Rfam family "Eukaryotic small subunit ribosomal RNA", at positions 1786 to 1831 of the family's 1831-position model. Lineage: Eukaryota; Fungi. The record is from RNAcentral.